This 82-nucleotide transfer RNA is filed under the name Toona ciliata. RNAcentral describes it as "tRNA-Ser". The record is from RNAcentral. Lineage: Eukaryota; Viridiplantae; Streptophyta; Magnoliopsida; Sapindales; Meliaceae. RNAcentral also lists the same sequence under 3 other names.
AAGAUUGCUAAUUUUAUAUAUUAAUAUAUGGAUAUCCGGGUGGAGACAGCGAGGAGGAGGGAGGGCACCCCUCGCAAUUUUA